GAUCUUCUGGCCGCCGCUGCGGAACCUGUUCAUCCCCGUCUUUCUGAACUGCUGGCUGGCCAAGCACGCACUGGAAAACAUGAUUAAUGACUUCCACCGUGCCAUCCUGCGGACACAGUCAGCCAUGUUCAACCAGGUCCUCAUCCUCUUCUGCACCCUGCUGUGCCUCGUUUUCACGGGGUGAGUGCCGGCCGUCAGUGUGAGCACCCCAGGACGUUGGGGAGGGCCCGAGAGGCAAGCAGGGCCGGGCGAGGGGAUACAGAUGCCUAUGUCCAAGCUAUCAGGGGACAGAAAAGGCCACAGUGCCUGGGCUGUGGGUGUCGGGCCACCAAGCUGGGACUGAGGUCAGGAGGCAGCUCCAAGCCCACGUCCCCAGUACACGAGCGGCCCUGCAGCCCGACUCCUCCAAG
RNAcentral lists this long non-coding RNA (410 nucleotides) under Pan troglodytes (chimpanzee). RNAcentral describes it as "long non-coding RNA NONPTRT017671". The record is from RNAcentral. Lineage: Eukaryota; Metazoa; Chordata; Mammalia; Primates; Hominidae.